GGUUUUAUUCCUCAGGGUUUGGGAAGAGAAAAAAAUUAAAAAAAAUUGUUUUCUUCUCCAUCUCUCUUUUACCUCUUUAUCUCCUCUAGAAGUCCAUCUUCAACCUUUGAAAAGGUUUUAGAGAUUUGAAGAAAGGAUCCAGAAGGAUCCAGAUUAGUCAAAAAGAAGGUCUUCGUGCGAACUAGUAUUUUCGAGAAGACCGAUCAGAUUGGGACUUUGAGUAGACUUUCUGUAGAGGCCGGAUGCAUGUGUGGCUAUGAGCAACCAGCAAAGAUCAUCUUCACCUUAUCUCUCAGUAGCGGC
RNAcentral lists this long non-coding RNA (303 nucleotides) under Elaeis guineensis (African oil palm). Its description in RNAcentral is "long non-coding RNA (EGUI_LNC033903)". Lineage: Eukaryota; Viridiplantae; Streptophyta; Magnoliopsida; Arecales; Arecaceae. The record is from RNAcentral.